Non-coding RNA from Mauremys reevesii (Reeves's turtle), 487 nucleotides. The record is from the annotation of a RefSeq genome assembly. NCBI's taxonomy places the organism in Eukaryota, Metazoa, Chordata, Testudines, Geoemydidae.
CAGACAUUCGCCCUGAGAACUUUCCUCUCCAACACCAGCGAAAAUGCUAUUUUUGCUCCUUUUAAUGUUCACUAUGGAGACUCUGGAAGGUGUCCGGUCCCAAGUGCAGCUGGUGGAGUCGGGAGGGGAUGUGAAAAAGCCCGGAGACUCUCUCCGCCUCUCCUGCAAAGCCUCCGGCUUCACCUUCAACAGCUACUACAUGGAAUGGUUCCGCCAGGCUCCCGGGAAGGGGCUGGAGUGGGUGGCUGAGAUUAGACCAGAUGCAUCCAACCAGUGGUACUCCCCGGCUGUUCAAGGGCGAUUCACCAUCUCCAGGAACAAUCCCAACAACCUGCUGUAUCUGCAAAUGACCGGCCUGAAGCCCGAGGACACCGCCCGGUAUCACUGUGCCAGACGCACAGUGAGAGGAAACCGAGUGGUGCUAAUACCAAAACCAGAGCGGAAGAAAUCCCAUUUCCCGCCCUGCGCCACUUGGCGGCAGCAGUAG